Molecule: ribosomal RNA, 300 nt
Filed under: uncultured bacterium
Lineage: Bacteria
Description: bacterial SSU rRNA
Rfam family: Bacterial small subunit ribosomal RNA
Source: RNAcentral
GGGAUUAGUGGCGGACGGGUGAGUAACGCGUGGGAACAUACCCAAAGGUACGGAAUAGCCUCGGGAAACUGGGAGUAAUACCGUAUGUGCUCGAAAGAGGAAAGAUUUAUCGCCUUUGGAUUGGCCCGCGUUGGAUUAGGUAGUUGGUGGGGUAAUGGCCUACCAAGCCGACGAUCCAUAGCUGGUUUGAGAGGAUGAUCAGCCACACUGGGACUGAGACACGGCCCAGACUCCUACGGGAGGCAGCAGUGGGGAAUCUUAGACAAUGGGGGAAACCCUGAUCUAGCCAUGCCGCGUGAG